UGUAUUUGUASAGUGGGCUUCGGAUGCGGUGGUGACUCAAGUUCUUUCGAACAGGACAUCAUAGAGGGUGAUAAUCCCGUCUCGGUCGUUCACCAAAUCCAUGUGAAGCUUUAUUCGACGAGUCGAGUUGUUUGGGAAUGCAGCUCAAAAUGGGUGGUAAAUUUCAUCUAAAGCUAAAUAUCAGCCAGAGACCGAUAGCGCACAAGUAGAGUGAUCGAAAGAUGAAAAGCACUUUGAAAAGAGAGUCAAAAAGCACGUGAAACUGUUUGGAGGGAAGCGCUUGUGACCAGACUCGCUCGCAGUGUUCAGCCUCCUGAAAAGGUGGUGCACUCUCUGCGUUGCGGGCCAACAUCAGUUUCGGCGACCGGACAAAGACCCAAAGAAUGUGGCUUCCCCUCGGGGGAGUGUUAUAGCUUCGGGUGCAAUGCGGCCAGCCGGGACUGAGGAAAUUGCGCUUUAUGCUCGGAUGUUGGCAUAAUGGUCAUCAGCGACCCGUCUUGAAACACGGACCAAGGAGUCGUGCAAUCACGCGAGCGUUAGGGUGUUAAACCCCUGCGCGGAAUGAAAGUGAACGUAGGUGGGAGCUUUUUGCGCACCAUCGACCGAUCCGAGUUCGCGAGGAUUUGAGUAUGAGUGUGAUUGCACGGACCCGAAAGAAGGUGAACUAUUGCUGACUASGCCGAAGCCAGAGGAAACUCUGGUGGAGGGUCGCAGCGGUUCUGACGUGCAAAUCGAUCGUCAAAGCUGGCAAUAGGGGCGAAAGACUAAUCGAACCUUCUAGUAGCUGGUUCCUGUCGAAGUUUCCCUCAGAUAGCAGCAACGAAAAACAGUCUCAUGAGGUAGAGCAACGAUUAGAGGCCUUGGGGUUGCAACAACCUUAACCUAUUCUCGAACUCCGAAUAUGUGAGAAGUCCUUGUUACUUAGUUGAACGUGGACAUUUGGAUGUACGUUGCUA
RNAcentral lists this ribosomal RNA (956 nucleotides) under Chapsa leprocarpa. RNAcentral describes it as "partial large subunit ribosomal RNA". The record is from RNAcentral. Lineage: Eukaryota; Fungi; Ascomycota; Lecanoromycetes; Ostropales; Graphidaceae.